This 26-nucleotide transfer RNA is filed under the name Shoshonea pulvinata. RNAcentral describes it as "partial tRNA-Leu". Lineage: Eukaryota; Viridiplantae; Streptophyta; Magnoliopsida; Apiales; Apiaceae. The record is from RNAcentral.
AGAGCGUGGAGGUUCGAGUCCUCUUC